Molecule: long non-coding RNA, 1220 nt
Organism: Branchiostoma floridae (Florida lancelet)
Lineage: Eukaryota; Metazoa; Chordata; Leptocardii; Amphioxiformes; Branchiostomatidae
Exons: 2
Source: RefSeq, a predicted model, not a curated record
GCAGAAUCCACGCAUUGUAGGGCGGCCAUUGUGAGGUGAGGGUCGGUCCAGAGAUGCCACAUGGGUCUAGUGAUCUUUGAGGUGUUCAUCACCAAGUGUGGAAUCAUCUUAUACCUACUGCAGGAUGCUGAGACAACACAACCAGUCCCUUGAUGGGAACAACAGUAGCUGUUGCAAAGUUAUCUUCUGUACACAUCCAAAUAUAAACAGGUGACAGAGCAAAGCUAUUGGCAAAGGCAGGACAUCCAGCUUAUUCGGGUUCUGUUAGUCAGGUCUUAAAGUAUUACAGCUGUCAAGCCUCUUGGAAACCCAGACUUCGGGGACUGUGCCUCUGGCUCAGUAGGGGCUUGUUCAGCUAAGUUAGAUGGGUUUGCUGGAUGUCAAGGCCACAAAUAAUGUUAAGUUCCUUUUGCUCUUGUUCCUGAUGGUACUUUGCCUCAGCCCGACCUAGAGAUGAUCCCGGUAAACUACUGCCAAUAUUGUUGUUCUCCGCUUGUUUUCUUCCUCGUACGCCUCGCUGGCAGUAGCCACUUUUUCUGCAUUGUAGUCUGAUCAGUGUCUGGGAUAUAAAGUAAAUAUGGGUUAUACAGUAGUAACACCAACCCUGUCCUAACAUCUGGAGUGGUGAUUCCGCCUUAAAUGUUCCAGAAGCCUAAAUCCAGAGAACACUUCAUUUAUGUAUUCACUGAAUUUAAAACAAGAGGUAUAUAAAACUGAAGCAUGCGCAAUUUUGGCAUAUACUGAUACCCCGAACAAUCCUCUGUGGGGGAGAUCAAAUCUGAUGCUUCCCUUAGAAACUUGUACUUCAUAGAACGCACCCGCAACUUCUGAAAUUGGUAAAAAAAACACGGAAUGGAUAUUUCGGGAUGCCGUUUCUGCGUAACGGGUCUCCUCGGUAUUCCAGACCUUCCCUUAAAGUUGAGAUUUCCCCACCCUCGUUGGGUCUGUACAUACUCAUUUCAGGGUAUGCAGCGCAGUGCUGACCCUGACCUCUUUUUGUUCAUGUUCAACAGCCCGAAAAAUUAACAUGCAAUUUUGAAAAGUAUAUUUUUGAAUGUUUGUAGCAUUGUGCUCUGACUUUUUUUCUUUUCCUAUUAAAUAAUCAUUGUAAAAUAACAUUGUUAUACAAGAAUGAGAUUUUGUUAAAGUUGGGUACCAAAGUUUCAAGCAACAUACGUGGUACAACAGCAUGUUUUGUUUGUUGGCCUCCUCUUCCUCUA